Molecule: long non-coding RNA, 1280 nt
Organism: Brachypodium distachyon (stiff brome)
Lineage: Eukaryota; Viridiplantae; Streptophyta; Magnoliopsida; Poales; Poaceae
Exons: 2
Source: RefSeq, a predicted model, not a curated record
UCUUCCUCCACCUAUUCCCCUCUGGCCCUCUCUCCCUUGCCCUCUUCCUCUCCUCCCCUGACGCACGCACCCACCCUCGGCCCUCCUUCCUCCUCUCUCCUCCUCAGCCCCCCCACAGGAAUCUGGAGCAUCGCCGGGCCGCCGCGUCUUGAUGGAGAUGGACGGCAUCUUCCUCCUGCUACUCGAUGCCUGCGUCGUUCUCCACUUCCAAAUCCAUGGCGGCCUGUCCCUGAAACAUACCUGCGAUGCUGCAGACUUCGAGGUGCUGCGGUGGGCGGCGCCGUCGUGGAAGGAGAUGGGCGCCAGGUCACCACCGGUCUGAUCUCGUCCGACCCGCCGACUGUCCUCGUCCCCACCUCCAUCCCUCGCGCCGAACUCUGCUGGCCUCCGCCUCUCUCCUUCUCCUGUGCCCCGAUGUCCUCCCCUGCCAACAGCAGCCACCCCUUCCCUCCACGCAUCGACGCCGGCCGGAACGGGCGGGAUCUGUCUCUCUCAGGAGAUUUGCCGUUCCCGCGUCCUCCUCGCACUUUGUCCCCAUCUCUCUCCCCACCCCUGUCGCUCUCUCCUUCCGCUCGCUUUCCGCCGUCGCUCGUCCAUGCCCAUGGCCACUGCGGCGACGGCGGCAUUUCGUCCCGCUUUGAGUCGCUCCGCUCCAAGUGUCGCGUCGUUGACGGCCGUGCCCUCCGCUUUCGUCCACGCCGGCCUCUGCCCAGCUUCCGCCUGGGCUGCUCCAAACCCUCGACACCGGGUUCAUCGAGCUCGUCGAAUGCCUCGAGCCGAUAGACAUCGGAGGCGAGCGCGUUCCCAUGGCCAUGUGUGUUUGCUUGGUCCAACCUAAGUUGAUUAUGUACGGUUCUUGUGUGGUCAUAUGCAGGAUGUUGUACAAAGGGCUCCAGGCACCUAAUGGAAGAAGGCCAGUGCUAUCCUCAGAUCACCUUGUUAUUUAUGUGAUAAUGAGAUUACAUUCCCUUCUACCUGAGAUGGAGAGGGGCCAUGAAGGAGUUGUUGCUUUUAACAGAAGAUUUUGUUGCUGCAGGGAGGUGUUUUCUAUCUGAAACUGUUUGUCAUGUACAUACGGUAGAUGUCAUCAAGUUUGAAUUGAUGUUGGGUGAGGUCUGUCUGAAAGUGAUUCAUGAUGCAGGUUUAAAAUCAAGUUGGAAAGUACUACAUGAACAUUCUUUUCUCUGUCUGCUGUGAUUCCAACUUGGUGCAUGUAAAUAACAACUUGAUUUCAGCUUGGUUGGAAUUAUCCUGUGAUCUUAGCAAGCUUUUGGUCCAAA